Molecule: ribosomal RNA, 351 nt
Filed under: Homoeocerus angulatus
Lineage: Eukaryota; Metazoa; Arthropoda; Insecta; Hemiptera; Coreidae
Description: SSU rRNA
Rfam family: Eukaryotic small subunit ribosomal RNA (bases 136-351)
Source: RNAcentral
CCUGUCGGUGGCGGACAGGCUUCUCGGCGUGCCCUAUGCGUCUUACGGCGUGUAGGCUGCUGCGCCGCGUUGUCCUUGUACGCCGGCUCAAUCCUACCGCGGUGCUCUUUACCGAGUGUCGAGGUAGGCCGACACUGUUUACUUUGAACAAAUUAGAGUGCUUAAAGCAGGCUCUUAAAUCAGCCUGAAUAGUGGUGCAUGGAAUAAUGGAACAGGACCUUGGUUCUAUUUUGUUGGUUUUCGGAAUCCAAGGUAAUGAUCAAUAAGGACAGGCGGGGGCAUUCGUAUUGCGGCGUUAGAGGUGAAAUUCUUGGAUCGUCGCAAGACGCACUAGAGCGAAAGCAUUUGCCA